RNAcentral lists this ribosomal RNA (492 nucleotides) under uncultured bacterium. RNAcentral's name for it is "partial 16S ribosomal RNA". It matches the Rfam family "Bacterial small subunit ribosomal RNA", at positions 29 to 507 of the family's 1533-position model. The record is from RNAcentral.
AGUGAACGCUGGCGGUAGGCCUAACACAUGCAAGUCGAACGGCAGCACAGUAAGAGCUUGCUCUUACGGGUGGCGAGUGGCGGACGGGUGAGGAAUACAUCGGAAUCUACUUUUUCGUGGGGGAUAACGUAGGGAAACUUACGCUAAUACCGCAUACGACCUACGUGUGAAAGCAGGGGAUCUUCGGACCUUGCGCGAUUGAAUGAGCCGAUGUCGGAUUAGCUAGUUGGCGGGGUAAAGGCCCACCAAGGCGACGAUCCGUAGCUGGUCUGAGAGGAUGAUCAGCCACACUGGAACUGAGACACGGUACAGACUCCUACGGGAGGCAGCAGUGGGGAAUAUUGGACAAUGGGCGCAAGCCUGAUCCAGCCAUACCGCGUGGGUGAAGAAGGCCUUCGGGUUGUAAAGCCCUUUUGUUGGGAAAGAAAAGCAGCAGGUUAAUACCCCGCUGUUCUGACGGUACCCAAAGAAUAAGCACCGGCUAACUUCGUG